UAGGGAAUCUUCGGCAAUGGACGAAAGUCUGACCGAGCAACGCCGCGUGAGUGAAGAAGGUUUUCGGAUCGUAAAACUCUGUUGUUAGAGAAGAACAAGGACGUUAGUAACUGAACGUCCCCUGACGGUAUCUAACCAGAAAGCCACGGCUAACUACGUGCCAGCAGCCGCGGUAAUACGUAGGUGGCAAGCGUUGUCCGGAUUUAUUGGGCGUAAAGCGAGCGCAGGCGGUUUCUUAAGUCUGAUGUGAAAGCCCCCGACUCAACCGGGGAGGGUCAUUGGAAACUGGGAGACUUGAGUGCAUAAGAGGAGAGUGGAAUUCCAUGUGUAGCGGUGAAAUGCGUAGAUAUAUGGAGGAACACCAGUGGCGAAGGCGGCUCUCUGGUCUGUAACUGACGCUGAGGCUCGAAAGCGUGGGGAGCAAACAGG
This 429-nucleotide ribosomal RNA is filed under the name Gemmatimonadota bacterium. Its description in RNAcentral is "Gemmatimonadetes bacterium partial 16S ribosomal RNA". It matches the Rfam family "Bacterial small subunit ribosomal RNA", at positions 355 to 776 of the family's 1533-position model. The record is from RNAcentral. Lineage: Bacteria; Pseudomonadati; Gemmatimonadota.